AAUGAAGUCCAGCGUCAGUGAGAUUAUAUGUUAUGUGGUAUAUAAUGUUGGAUGUCAACUCCCCAAAACCAUAAAACUUACUUUAAUGGCACCACGUGACUUUCUAUAGCCAGUGAGCCUAUCUGUCUGUGCUAUGGAUGAUUUUACGAUCUAAUUCAUAGACAAAACCCUAUUCAUUUGGCACCCAAAUGUCAUAUAGCCGGAACUGGGGCUUAUAAAGUUUACUGUUUUCUAACUUUUAAAGGAAGGCAUCAAUGUAAGCAGGCAGUAAGUGUGCAAAUCUUUAGUUACUCUUAGAAGCUCAGAAGAGUUAACCAAUCGAGCUAUGGUGGGGACCUCUCUCCUGGAAAACCCGUACCAAACGAGAAGCUGGUCACUGCAACAGGGCUCUCUCUCCGUUUGAAAGAGCUCCGGUCGUUCUGACAGCUGUCGCUUUGCCCGCCGCCCGAGAGACGAAUCGCCCUCCUUUUGGUGCCAGAAGAAGCAGGAAAUUAGCCAGGUUGCAGUUGAAAAUCGGCCACUCCGCCGCUUGGAAUCCAGCA
This is a long non-coding RNA of Monodelphis domestica (gray short-tailed opossum), 542 nucleotides long. RefSeq lists it as uncharacterized. The record is from RefSeq and is a predicted model, not a curated record. NCBI's taxonomy places the organism in Eukaryota, Metazoa, Chordata, Mammalia, Didelphimorphia, Didelphidae.